GGCCUUUAGAAUUUAAUUUAAGGUCUGACCUGCCCAGUGAUGAAUUUAACGGCCGCGGUAUAUUGACCGUGCAAAGGUAGCAUAAUCAUUAGUCUUUUAAUAGAGGGCUGGAAUGAAUGGUUUAACGAGGAAUUGACUGUCUCAUUUUAUUUGUUUUAAAACUUAAUUUUUUAGUUAAAAAGCUAAAAUAUUAUUGGAAGACGAGAAGACCCUAUAGAUCUUUAUAUAAUUUUUUGUAUUUAUUUAUAUAUUAACAUAAUUGUAGUAAGGUUAUAUUUUGUUGGGGUGACAAAAAUAUAUAAUUAACUUUUUCAUUUAUUUACCAUUGAUAUAUGAAUUUUAGAUCCAUUUUUAGUGAUUGAUAGAUUAAGUUACCUUAGGGAUAACAGCGUAAUCCUCCUCCAGAGCUCAUAUUUACAGGAGGGCUUGCGACCUCGAUGUUGGAUUAAGAUAAUAAUUAGGUGUAGCCGCUUAAUUUAUAGGUCUGUUCGACCUUUAAAUUCUU
Molecule: ribosomal RNA, 505 nt
Filed under: Sympetrum kunckeli
Lineage: Eukaryota; Metazoa; Arthropoda; Insecta; Odonata; Libellulidae
Description: partial 16S rRNA
Rfam family: Bacterial large subunit ribosomal RNA
Source: RNAcentral